AUACUAUUUCCUAGGGCUCUUUGUCCUUUCUCUGCUGUCUUUGUGGACUGCUACUAGAAAAUUUAGUUCCAGGAUCUUUUUUUUAUGUAGUAACCGUGGACAUCACACAAACUGAUUAUGCAACAUCACUUGGUAAUAAAGCUCCAGAGUUAAUAGCAACAAAGAUUGCCCUCAACAAGUUAUUUUGCUAAUAUAGAGUUGUAUACAUUUUUCCAAAGUGGAAAAGGCUAAAGAAUCCAAAGGUAGCCGAGCAUGAUUUUCCACAGAGGGCCAAGCACCUGUAGUUUUCAUUUACUUCAGUUGGUGUCAUGGGGGCUUCCACACUUCUGAAAAAUAGAUCUCACCUCAAGGCAUUGGCUUUCUGUUCUAAAAUAUUCAGCAUUAUAUUAAGAACAAACAAAUGUGUACAUAUAGAAAGAUCAUUUUUAGAACAAAAUGUGCUAUGAGUGAAAUAUUUCAUCCUGAAAAACUAAACUAUUUGCAAAAUUUAUAUUCUAAAAAGGACUUUUAAAGAGUAUAGAGCCAAGUGAAUUAUUGCACUUUAAUCAAAACAUAUUUGAACAGAAUCUAAUAUAGUGUGUUGUGAGAACUGUACCUCAAAUACUGAGAGCAGCAUUAAAAUUGCUUUAAUACAAACAAUGCAAGGAAAUGAGAUUACAAAGGAUUUUUUUGCAAUUGCUUUAGUGAAUAACUAAAUGCACAAGUGUUACUUGGAAAUUGCACAUUGCUAUUCAAACUAUGCUAUUAGUAUGUAAACAUUGAUCAGGUAUUUCUCUGAAAUAUACAAGCAAAAUUCAAUUAAUUUAACAAAAAGAUUGAGGUUUAAUCUAAAUAGUAAAUGAAAAGUGUGAAUGUAGGAUUUCCUGAUGACAGCAUGUUUAUUAAUAAAUGAUCAUUCAAUUGAAUUUUAUAAUAAAAACAACUAUGUACACUAUCUUUUGCAAAUUUAAUUAUUUUGUUGAUAGAAUUUGCAGAGGUAAUAAAAUACAGUUAAAUCUAUAAUAAUGAUUUAUAAAGAUGGGAUAUCUUUAAAGAAUCAAAGAAGAAAUUCAGUUUUCACUGCUCAAACGCAGUAUUUUAAUGCUUCUGGAUUAAGUAUAUAGCAUCAAAUUGCUCAAUUAUAGGUUUCAGAGUAGCAGCCGUGUUAGUCUGUAUUCGCAAAAAGAAAAGGAGUACUUGUGGCACCUUAGAGACUAACAAAUUUGUUAGUACUCCUUUUCUUUUUGCUCAAUUAUAGUGACACAAAUCUGGAGUAGUGCCAUUCAAGUAACUAGUGACUUUCGUUUUAGACCAUUGUAAUGGAGAGCAGAAUUUGGGGUCCACGGGAUUUACUUUGUAAUCCACUAUACUGCAGGUUAUUUGGCUGGUUACUGCAGGCCAAAUUCUGCCCACAGGUGCCUUCCCUGCAGUUCCGUUGACGUUAAUGUAAGUAUGAAGACAGAAUUUGGUUCUAUGUUUUUUGAAGAUGAAUAACCGUUUGCUGGUGCUACUUGUGAAGGGAGUGGAGGGAGAAAGAAAAUAUCCUUACUAAUUGUUUAAGGUUGAGGUGUAAUGCUUAUUAAAAAAUAUGAAUCAAACUUAUGGUGUGUUCCUGUAGUCCUCACUAAUCCCAUUUAAAUACUUGGGCCCCAGUUCAGCAAAGAUUUAAGCACAUAGUGAAAUCCCCAUGACUUAAAUGCUUAAUGAAUUGAGGCCUUAAAGACCAAUGGGCAACAACAUCUGUGGUUUAGUCACAGGGAAAUCCCUCAGCCCUGGUUGGGAUGCCUCAUAUCUUUAACCUAAUGAAUAAGAGCACACACACAUCUAAGCUCCUUCUCCUCCUGCAGGUCAAGCAGGCUGACAAAUCUGUCAAGAUGUUAGUUCCCACCAAUCGCAAUGCAGGGGAUAGCCACGGUUCCAUGAAAAAUUCAAUUCCCAUGAAGGUCAGAGAUUAUCUGGAAAUUGAAGGACUUGACAGAAGUCAAAUUAUGCCCACCCCAACACACAGUAAGUAGUACUUUACUCUGACUAGUUCUAGUGAUAUGAAUUAGGGUUACCAGUGAAGUAAAAUAUGACUAGAUAUAAUUAAGGGUAACCAAAUCAGACCCCAAAUUGAACUCAAACCCUGUUUAAAAAAAACUUUAUAUUUUCCUGCUGAAAUUCUAGUAAUCACUUUUUUUUACCAAAUAUAUAAAACCUACAAAUAAGUAUAUUUGUCAAUGUAUUUAUUUUCAGGUUAAAACUAUAAACAUUUUGUUUAAUAAUUACAAUUAUUUUACUUGAUAAAAUUCUUUGUAAUAUUGUUAGUUCUAUAUAAACAUCCUAAUUUCAGUCUUGGUCCUUGGACUUCAGUGGGUGAAGGAAUGGGCCUUAAAUAGCUGUUUAAAGAUGAAAAUGAGUCUUUUAUGUAGAACCUGCACCAUGAAACACAUUUCUUCAUAAAUUUCUUCUACAGACAACUGCACAUUGCUUUGGAAUCAUCCAGUUCAUCAAUGCUCACUCCAUAAAGGUUAAUAAGUUGUGGGUGCACCCUAGGAUGUGAAGAAAUAAAAAUAAAGUAAUUUA
Dermochelys coriacea (leatherback sea turtle) is the source of this 2544-nucleotide long non-coding RNA. RefSeq lists it as uncharacterized. NCBI's taxonomy places the organism in Eukaryota, Metazoa, Chordata, Testudines, Dermochelyidae. The record is from RefSeq and is a predicted model, not a curated record. The transcript is spliced from 2 exons.